UUCCCCUCUGACACACUGGACCAGAAGGAAAAGUCUGGAAGGUGAAGAUCUGAUCUCUACUGGACUCCCCUGGACAGCUAGCAAGUAGUCUCUUUUAGUUCCACCAUACAAGGUUGAGAGGACAUAUCCACACUGGUGAACAGAGUGAAACUUGAAGAAACCAUCUUUUCCCUGGAACAAUUGAGAACUCAGCUGGUUCCCUGUAACUGAACCACCAAGAACUCUCUGUGUGUGAGAAAUCUGGUUCCCUGUUGGACUUAACCUUAGGAAACAGGGAGCCUGGAGUUCCAGGGAUGACCUUUGAGAGGGACAGACUCCCAGCCCAGAGAGACAACCCUGGCUGGCAGCAUGCUAAGCGUUCUGACAUCUUUGUGUGGUGGCAUUUAUUGUCUGGGUUGGUGGGUUUUAUCAACUUGAUGUCCCUCCUUCAAUAGAGGAAG
This 440-nucleotide long non-coding RNA is filed under the name Monodelphis domestica (gray short-tailed opossum). RNAcentral describes it as "lncRNA (ENSMODG00000048286.1)". The record is from RNAcentral. Lineage: Eukaryota; Metazoa; Chordata; Mammalia; Didelphimorphia; Didelphidae.